RNAcentral lists this transfer RNA (56 nucleotides) under Heterorhabditis bacteriophora. Its description in RNAcentral is "tRNA-Phe". RNAcentral also lists the same sequence under 1 other name. Lineage: Eukaryota; Metazoa; Nematoda; Chromadorea; Rhabditida; Heterorhabditidae. The record is from RNAcentral.
ACUCUUUUAGUUUAUUAUAAAAUAUGACUUUGAAGCAGUUAAGAAUUUUGAGAGUG